Molecule: ribosomal RNA, 426 nt
Filed under: uncultured bacterium
Lineage: Bacteria
Description: bacterial SSU rRNA
Rfam family: Bacterial small subunit ribosomal RNA
Source: RNAcentral
CAACGCGAAGAACCUUACCAAGGCUUGACAUGGAAAUGACCACUUCAGAGAUGAAGGAUUAUCUUCGGAUACAUUUCACACAGGUGGUGCAUGGUUGUCGUCAGCUCGUGUCGUGAGAUGUUGGGUUAAGUCCCGCAACGAGCGCAACCCUUACGUCCAGUUGCCAGCAAGUGAAGUUGGGCACACUGGAGGGACUGCCGUGGAGAACACGGAGGAAGGCGGGGAUGAUGUCAAAUCAUCAUGCCCCUUAUGUCUUGGGCUACACACGUGCUACAAUGGGAGCAAACAGAGUGAAGCAAAGCAGUGAUGCGGAGCGAAACACGAAAGGCUUCCCCAGUUCGGAUUGAAGGCUGCAACCCGCCUUCAUAAAGUUGGAAUCGCUAGUAAUCGCGGAUCAGCAUGCCGCGGUGAAUACGUUCCCGGGCC